Molecule: transfer RNA, 74 nt
Filed under: Aneurinibacillus soli
Lineage: Bacteria; Bacillati; Bacillota; Bacilli; Caryophanales; Paenibacillaceae
Rfam family: tRNA
About the family: Transfer RNA (tRNA) molecules are approximately 80 nucleotides in length. Their secondary structure includes four short double-helical elements and three loops (D, anti-codon, and T loops).
Source: Rfam by way of RNAcentral
UGUCCUGUAGCUCAAUAGGUUAGAGCACUUCGCUUAUAACGGAGAGGUUGUGGGUUCGAUCCCCACCAGGACAA